ACGGGAGGCAGCAGUGGGGAAUAUUGGACAAUGGGGGAAACCCUGAUCCAGCCAUGCCGCGUGUGUGAAGAAGGCCUUUUGGUUGUAAAGCACUUUAAGCAGUGAAGAAGACUCCUCGGUUAAUACCCGUGGACGAUGACAUUAGCUGCAGAAUAAGCACCGGCUAACUCUGUGCCAGCAGCCGCGGUAAUACAGAGGGUGCAAGCGUUAAUCGGAAUUACUGGGCGUAAAGCGAGCGUAGGUGGCUUGAUAAGUCAGAUGUGAAAUCCCCGGGCUUAACCUGGGAACUGCAUCUGAAACUGUUAGGCUAGAGUAGGUGAGAGGGAAGUAGAAUUUCAGGUGUAGCGGUGAAAUGCGUAGAGAUCUGAAGGAAUACCGAUGGCGAAGGCAGCUUCCUGGCAUCAUACUGACACUGAGGCUCGAAAGCGUGGGUAGCAAACAGGAUUAGAUACCCUGGUAGUCCACGCCGUAGACGAUGUCUACUAGUCGUUGGGUCCCUUGAGGACUUAGUGACGCAGCUAACGCAAUAAGUAGACCGCCUGGGGAGUACGGCCGCAAGGUUAAAACUCAAAUGAAUUGACGGGGGCCCGCACAAGCGGUGGAGCAUGUGGUUUAAUUCGAUGCAACGCGAAGAACCUUACCUGGUCUUGACAUAUCUAGAAUCCUG
Molecule: ribosomal RNA, 667 nt
Filed under: Psychrobacter sp. PHA13
Lineage: Bacteria; Pseudomonadati; Pseudomonadota; Gammaproteobacteria; Moraxellales; Moraxellaceae
Description: bacterial SSU rRNA
Rfam family: Bacterial small subunit ribosomal RNA
Source: RNAcentral